This 702-nucleotide ribosomal RNA is filed under the name uncultured Bacteroidota bacterium. Its description in RNAcentral is "bacterial SSU rRNA". It matches the Rfam family "Bacterial small subunit ribosomal RNA", at positions 34 to 689 of the family's 1533-position model. The record is from RNAcentral. Lineage: Bacteria; Pseudomonadati; Bacteroidota.
CGCUGGCGGCUGGCUUAACACAUGCAAGUCGAACGAGAAGGUGAAAGCUUGCUUUUACUAGGACACUGGCCGACUGGUGACUAACGCGUAGAUAACCUGACCUAUAGCUGGAGGGAUAACACUGACCAAAGUGUGUGCUAACUACCGCCAUAAUGCAGCGGGGCCGACAUGCCACUAGUGUUAGAGGUAUUCGGCCGGCUUAUAUAUGGGUCUGCCGUGCUAUUAGCUAGUUGGUAAGGCUACGGCGUUACCAAGGACGAUGCAUAGCUAGGGGGUCUGAGCAAGAAUGACCCCCACACUGAGACUGAGACACGGCCCGAACACUCCUACGGGAGGCAGCAGUGAGGAAUCUUGCGCAAUGAGCGAAAGCCUGACGCCGCCACGCCGCGUUGACCGGAUGACGGUCCUAAGGGUUGUAAACGGAUAUUAACUAAGGAAGAACGAGAGGGUUUUGAUCUUCUGUGACAGGGGCCUAGAUGAAUAAGCAGCCAGGCUAACUCCGGGCCAAGGCGAGCCGCGGGUAAGUAACGGAAGGGUGCAAAGCGUUGUCCCGGAAUCAUUCGGGCGUACACGGGUGCGUAGAGCAGUAGCCUUACGUCUGGGAGAUGAAAUCUAGCCGCGUUAACGGUAAAAUGGCCUUGAAUACUGGGUUUCUUGAGUGCACAACAGGCAGGUGGAAUCACUGAUGUAGCGGAUAAAUGC